CACUGCGCCGAAAAUGUACCGGGGCUAAACAUAUUACCGAAGCUGUGGAUUGUCCGUAGGACAAUGGUAGGAGAGCGUUCUAAGGGCGUCGAAGCAUGAUCGCAAGGACAUGUGGAGCGCUUAGAAGUGAGAAUGCCGGUGUGAGUAGCGAAAGACGGGUGAGAAUCCCGUCCACCGAUUGACUAAGGUUUCCAGAGGAAGGCUCGUCCGCUCUGGGUUAGUCGGGUCCUAAGCUGAGGCCGACAGGCGUAGGCGAUGGAUAACAGGUUGAUAUUCCUGUACCACCUAGUAUCGUUUUAAUCGAUGGGGGGACGCAGUAGGAUAGGCGAAGCGUGCUAUUGGAUUGCACGUCCAAGCAGUAAGACUGAGUGUUAGGCAAAUCCGGCACUCAUAAGGUCAAGCUGUGAUGGGGAGAGGAAAUUGUUUCCUCGAGUCGUUGAUUUCACACUGCCAAGAAAAGCCUCUAGAUAGAUAACAGGUGCCCGUACCGCAAACCGACACAGGUAGUCAAGAUGAGAAUUCUAAGGUGAGCGAGCGAACUCUCGUUAAGGAACUCGGCAAAAUGACCCCGUAACUUCGGGAGAAGGGGUGCUCUUUAGGGUUAACGCCCAGAAGAGCCGCAGUGAAUAGGCCCAAGCGACUGUUUAUCAAAAACACAGGUCUCUGCUAAACCGUAAGGUGAUGUAUAGGGGCUGACGCCUGCCCGGUGCUGGAAGGUUAAGAGGAGUAGUUAGCUUCUGCGAAGCUACGAAUCGAAGCCCCAGUAAACGGCGGCCGUAACUAUAACGGUCCUAAGGUAGCGAAAUUCCUUGUCGGGUAAGUUCCGACCCGCACGAAAGGCGUAACGAUUUGGGCACUGUCUCAACGAGAGACUCGGUGAAAUCAUAGUACCUGUGAAGAUGCAGGUUACCCGCGACAGGACGGAAAGACCCCGUGGAGCUUUACUGUAGCCUGAUAUUGAAAUUCGGCACAGCUUGUACAGGAUAGGUAGGAGCCUUUGAAACGUGAGCGCUAGCUUACGUGGAGGCAUUGGUGGGAUACUACCCUAGCUGUGUUGGCUUUCUAACCCGCACCACUUAUCGUGGUGGGAGACAGUGUCAGGUGGGCAGUUUGACUGGGGCGGUCGCCUCCUAAAAGGUAACGGAGGCGCUCAAAGGUUCCCUCAGAAUGGUUGGAAAUCAUUCAUAGAGUGUAAAGGCAUAAGGGAGCUUGACUGCGAGACUUACAAGUCGAGCAGGGUCGAAAGACGGACUUAGUGAUCCGGUGGUUCCGCAUGGAAGGGCCAUCGCUCAACGGAUAAAAGCUACCCCGGGGAUAACAGGCUUAUCUCCCCCAAGAGUUCACAUCGACGGGGAGGUUUGGCACCUCGAUGUCGGCUCAUCGCAUCCUGGGGCUGUAGUCGGUCCCAAGGGUUGGGCUGUUCGCCCAUUAAAGCGGUACGCGAGCUGGGUUCAGAACGUCGUGAGACAGUUCGGUCCCUAUCCGUCGUGGGCGUAGGAAAUUUGAGAGGAGCUGUCCUUAGUACGAGAGGACCGGGAUGGACAUACCUCUGGUGUACCAGUUGUCGUGCCAACGGCAUAGCUGGGUAGCUAUGUAUGGACGGGAUAAGUGCUGAAAGCAUCUAAGCAUGAAGCCCCCCUCAAGAUGAGAUUUCCCAACUUCGGUUAUAAGAUCCCUCAAAGAUGAUGAGGUUAAUAAGGUUCGAGGUGGAAGCGUGGUGACACGUGGAGCUGACGAAUACUAAUCGAUCGAAGACUUAAUCAA
Molecule: ribosomal RNA, 1764 nt
Filed under: Staphylococcus sp. HMSC13A10
Lineage: Bacteria; Bacillati; Bacillota; Bacilli; Caryophanales; Staphylococcaceae
Description: bacterial LSU rRNA
Rfam family: Bacterial large subunit ribosomal RNA
Source: RNAcentral